CAAUAGCGUAUAUUAAAGUUGUUGCGGUUAAAAAGUUCGUAGUUGGAUUUCUGCCAAGGACGACCGGUCCGCCCUCUGGGUGAGUAUCUGGCUUGGCCUGGGCAUCUUCUUGGAGAACGUCGCUGCACUUCACUGUGUGGUGCGGUAUCCAGGACUUUUACUUUGAGGAAAUUAGAGUGUUUCAAGCAGGCUUCCGCCUUGAAUACAUUAGCAUGGAAUAAUAAGAUAGGACCUCGGUUCUGUUUUGUUGGUUUCUAGAGCUGGGGUAAUGAUUAAUAGGGAUAGUUGGGGGCAUUCGUAUUUAACUGUCAGAGGUGAAAUUCUUGGAUUUACGGAAGACGAACAUCUGCGAAAGCAUUUGCCAAGGAUGUUUNCAUUGA
Molecule: ribosomal RNA, 380 nt
Filed under: uncultured eukaryote
Lineage: Eukaryota
Description: partial 18S ribosomal RNA
Rfam family: Eukaryotic small subunit ribosomal RNA
Source: RNAcentral